GCCUUAUCAUUCUAUAAGGAGUAAGGUAGACAGCCUUAUCAUUCUAUAAGGAGUAAGGUAGACAGCCUUAUCAUUCUAUAAGGAGUAAGGUAGACGUCCUUAUCAUUCUAUAAGGAGUAAGGUAGACAGCCUUAUCAUUCUAUAAGGAGUAAGGUAGACAGCCUUAUCAUUCUAUAAGGAGUAAGGUAGACAGCCUUAUCAUUCUAUAAGGAGUAAGGUAGACAGCCUUAUCAUUCUAUAAGGAGUAAGGUAGACAGCCUUAUCAUUCUAUAAGGAGUAAGGUAGACAGCCUUAUCAUUCUAUAAGGAGUAAGGUAGACAGCCUUAUCAUUCUAUAAGGAGUAAGGUAGACAGCCUUAUCAUUCUAUAAGGAGUAAGGUAGACAGCCUUAUCAUUCUAUAAGGAGUAAGGUAGACAGCCUUAUCAUUCUAUCAG
This is a non-coding RNA of Penaeus vannamei (Pacific white shrimp), 434 nucleotides long. Lineage: Eukaryota; Metazoa; Arthropoda; Malacostraca; Decapoda; Penaeidae. The record is from RefSeq and is a predicted model, not a curated record.